GACCAAGUAAACCUAACCAUCCCUGACAGGUGUUUGUCCAUCCUGUUCUUGAAAACCGUCAGUGAUGGGGAUUCCACAACCUCCCUUGGAAACCUAUUCCAGGACUUAACUAUCCUAAUAGUUAGAAAGUUUUUUAAUAUUUGA
Chelonia mydas (Green sea turtle) is the source of this 144-nucleotide long non-coding RNA. RefSeq lists it as uncharacterized. NCBI's taxonomy places the organism in Eukaryota, Metazoa, Chordata, Testudines, Cheloniidae. The transcript has 3 exons. The record is from RefSeq and is a predicted model, not a curated record.